UACGGAGGGUGCAAGCGUUAAUCGGAAUUACUGGGCGUAAAGAGUUCGUAGGCGGUUAUCUAAGUCUGGUGUUAAAUACUGGAGCUCAACUCCGGCAUGGCAUUGGAAACUGGAUAGCUAGAGUGCGGUAGAGGUCACGGGAAUUCCAGGUGUAGCGGUGAAAUGCGUAGAUAUCUGAAGGAACACCAGUGGCGAAGGCGACUCUCUGGACUCAAACUGACGCUGAGGUACGAAAGCGUGGGUAGCAAACAGGAUUAGAUACCCCGGUAGU
RNAcentral lists this ribosomal RNA (271 nucleotides) under uncultured bacterium. RNAcentral's name for it is "partial 16S ribosomal RNA". It matches the Rfam family "Bacterial small subunit ribosomal RNA", at positions 524 to 794 of the family's 1533-position model. The record is from RNAcentral.